RNAcentral lists this ribosomal RNA (241 nucleotides) under uncultured Staphylococcus sp. RNAcentral's name for it is "partial 16S ribosomal RNA". It matches the Rfam family "Bacterial small subunit ribosomal RNA", at positions 99 to 334 of the family's 1533-position model. Lineage: Bacteria; Bacillati; Bacillota; Bacilli; Caryophanales; Staphylococcaceae. The record is from RNAcentral.
CGGACGGGUGAGUAACACGUGGAUAACCUACCUAUAAGACUGGGAUAACUUCGGGAAACCGGAGCUAAUACCGGAUAACAUGUUGAACCGCAUGGUUCAACAGUGAAAGACGGUCUUGCUGUCACUUAUAGAUGGAUCCGCGCCGCAUUAGCUAGUUGGUAAGGUAACGGCUUACCAAGGCAACGAUGCGUAGCCGACCUGAGAGGGUGAUCGGCCACACUGGAACUGAGACACGGUCCAG